AGGGCACUGAGUGCUCAGUUGAGCCAGAUAUCUUGCCUGGGAGGGAUGACCACAGUAGCCAAGGCACAUAAAUAGAGGAGAACAAGGGCUCUAUUUUGCCUUUUCGACAGGACCUGCAAUCACCAUGUGAAGUUCUGGAUUUCCGUUUAUGUGCAAAUGUCGAGGAUGCGUUUGGAAAGAGUGAUCAACACCUCCCCUGGGAGCUGAAAUAAAAGUAAAACAGUAACAGAGACUUUUGCAUUUCAAAGAAGGUUCUCGAGACCAAAUAAUUCAUUCCAACUGUUGAAGAAAAUACUGGGAAGCAGAAUGUGCAUGCUACUAAUAUUUUGGAUUCAAGCAGAUUUUAGGUCAAAGGGAGGACAAAAAUAUAAUUGAAACCAAAAUUGUUCAUUUCUUUCCCUUCCUUAAGGACUCUUCCUUUGCUUAUUUAGGUUUUUUUACAGAUAAUGUGCAGAACAUCAAAAAAGCUCCACUGCAGAUAUAGGAAAACCUCAGCCUAUUAUUCAUUGAAUUCUAUCUGGGAAUGUUCAAAUAUUAUAUAAUUUAAAAAGCAACAAAUGUGGAACUGAAUUCUUUUUUCUUGUAAUUAAGAAAAGUGUCACGGAUAUAUGAGGAUCACCAGUUAUAUCAAACACAAGCUGGAAAACUCCUACUAUUUUCCCUGGGUAUAAAUUCUCUUCUUGAAUUUCCCCAUGCCACCACACAUAGUGGUGUGUGGUCCAGCUGCUGCCAAGGGACCAGCCACAGAGAGCGAACAGGGGGAGUGAUGGGAGAUGGCCCUAUUGCGGGAGGUCCCGUGGGAGUUUGGAGGGGAUGAGAACAGUUGGCAGGACAGGGACAGGCUCUCUUUGUUCCCGCACGGCAGUCAAGAAUGAGCAGCCACCUCUUGGGACCGUGGCCACUGUCGUCUUGCUCUCCCCGCCACGGGACCCAGCCAGCCUCCUACCACUGCCUGCCAUACCUUGCUACAUAGAGUUUGUGUUGCCCUGCACACCCAUCGCCGGUGUUGCGCUGCAUAUCAGUGGCACUCUCACUGCUGCCACGGAACCUGGGGGAAUUCCCUUUGUGUGUGGUGAGCGUCGCUGCCCACGCACAGAUCUCCAAAGCUGUUGGCACAGCUGCAGCCAAGAAGAAACUGCUGCCUCUCUUUAUUCUGGGAUGGCAGUUGAGUUGAUGAGCCCCUAUGCUCCUGCCUGUGGCUUUGCUCCACAUACCAGUGCUUUCACUACCAGCCGCCACCCUCCCGUGUUCCUCUGCUGCCGACUGCUGGGCCAGGGUGUCCCAUCCUGCUCACCAGACACCAGGACUGUGCUGUUUUUAGACCCCUGGUGCUUUCUGCCAUUUUUUGUCUGCACUGCCUAGGCACCCCCCUAUCAUCACUACAGCCAAUUGGAAAGAACUGGGAACCUCCUUUGUGCACCUCUCCAUGUGUCAUCUGUCUGGCACGGCGGCAAUUCCACUCCAACUCCAUUGUAACUCCGUGACUGUGCUGGGACUGCAUUGUUGCCUCAGUGACACAGAAGUGAAAAGAGUGAUUUCUGGGUGACAUUUUUCUCUGUUAUUGUGUGGAUGUUGCUUUUGUUCUGUUUUGUUCCUUGUUUUUAGUAAACUGUUAUCUUUUUUCUAUACGUUGCUCGAAAGUCUCAUAUUUUCAAAUCAGCAAUAAGUCUGGGAGCUAGGGGUCUCUAUUUCAUUGGAGGUACUACCUCCUAGUGUACAUUGUCUUUAACC
Molecule: long non-coding RNA, 1731 nt
Organism: Lepidothrix coronata (blue-crowned manakin)
Lineage: Eukaryota; Metazoa; Chordata; Aves; Passeriformes; Pipridae
Exons: 4
Source: RefSeq, a predicted model, not a curated record